Molecule: transfer RNA, 73 nt
Filed under: Dipodomys ordii (Ord's kangaroo rat)
Lineage: Eukaryota; Metazoa; Chordata; Mammalia; Rodentia; Heteromyidae
Rfam family: tRNA
About the family: Transfer RNA (tRNA) molecules are approximately 80 nucleotides in length.
Source: Rfam by way of RNAcentral
GGAGGCAUGGCUCAAAUAGUUGAUCACUAGCCUAGUGAGCUUGAGGCCUUGGGUUCAAGCCCCAGAGCUUCCC